AAAUUGAAGAGUUUGAUCAUGGCUCAGAUUGAACGCUGGCGGCAGGCCUAACACAUGCAAGUCGAACGGUAACAGGAAGCAGCUUGCUGUUUCGCUGACGAGUGGCGGACGGGUGAGUAAUGUCUGGGAAACUGCCUGAUGGAGGGGGAUAACUACUGGAAACGGUAGCUAAUACCGCAUAACGUCGCAAGACCAAAGAGGGGGACCUUCGGGCCUCUUGCCAUCGGAUGUGCCCAGAUGGGAUUAGCUUGUU
Molecule: ribosomal RNA, 253 nt
Filed under: Escherichia coli
Lineage: Bacteria; Pseudomonadati; Pseudomonadota; Gammaproteobacteria; Enterobacterales; Enterobacteriaceae
Description: partial 16S ribosomal RNA
Rfam family: Bacterial small subunit ribosomal RNA
Source: RNAcentral